This is a small nuclear RNA of Heterocephalus glaber (naked mole-rat), 83 nucleotides long. Its record names the gene U2. It matches the Rfam family "U2 spliceosomal RNA". Rfam says of the family: U2 is a small nuclear RNA (snRNA) component of the spliceosome (involved in pre-mRNA splicing). Lineage: Eukaryota; Metazoa; Chordata; Mammalia; Rodentia; Bathyergidae. The record is from Ensembl.
AUUGCUUCUCAGCCUUUUGGCUAAGAUCAAGUGUUGUAACAAUUUUGAAAUUAACAUAUAUCAUCUUCAUUAUUGAACUCUUU